Asparagus officinalis (garden asparagus) is the source of this 2549-nucleotide long non-coding RNA. RefSeq lists it as uncharacterized. Lineage: Eukaryota; Viridiplantae; Streptophyta; Magnoliopsida; Asparagales; Asparagaceae. The transcript is spliced from 3 exons. The record is from RefSeq and is a predicted model, not a curated record.
UGGUCUUCAGCCCCACGUCAUCGGAUCUCUCGCCUCGUCUCCCGCUGUUGUCAGAUCCGUCGUCUUUACCCCAUCUUCGCCCGCCUUGUCUUCGCCGCACGCCGUCAGAUCUCGCCGUCGGAUCCGCCGUUUGUUCCAUAAGGUCGAAUCGAAACUCUACUUUUAAUUUCAUUGUCAAUAUGUUAUAUGUGACUAUAAGAUUUUUGAUUAAGUUUUCUUUUUAAUUUCAUUGAAUAGAAAUCAUGUCUAAUCCUUCGAUUCAAGCGUCUAAUGAAGAACAAACUAUUGAGCUUAAUGUUGAACCUUCUGUUGAACCCGUGGUUGAGGAAUUUUCAAGUAAAAUUGAUGAAAAAACUGAAAAGAAAAGAUGUUAUUCUGAAGUGUAUAGUUAGAUUUUGAUAAAAUAGAUAAAAUAGAAAAGAAAAUAGUUGAUGGGAAAGAGGUUGUCACCAAAAUCAUUAGAGCCAAAUACUAACAUUGCUCAUUUGAAGCCUAUGGACGUAGUAUCAAGGGUAUUUCCCUUCUUAAAAAUCACAUUGCGAGAUGUACUAAAAAGAAAAGACCCGAUAUCCGUCAACAAUUGGUUUAAACUACUAUAAAAAAUAAAGAUGAGACGUGUGCACUUAGUAAUUAUCAAUUUGAAAAUGAGAAGAGUCAAAAUCUGCUUGCAAAGGCAAUAAUCGUGCACGAAUAUCCAUUUAACAUUGUAACACAUGAGUUUUUCCUCAAGUAUGUGCAUUCUUUCCGUCCAAAUCACAAGGUUCCAAAACGUACACAUAUCACAAAGUUGUGUAUAAAGAUUUAUGAAGAUUAUAAAAAAUCUAUAUUGGAUUUGCUUGAUAAAUCUUCUAUAAGAUUAAGUUUUAACAAUGGAUAAAUGAACAUCAUCGUCACAAAAUUUGUCUUAUUUGUGUGUCAUCGCUGAAUCGUGGAAACUACAAAAACGUAUUAUUGGAUUUAUUAAAGUUCAUAGUUCUAUGGGGAAAGACAUUUGCAAUGUAUUAAUUUCGUGUUUGCUUGAGUGGAAAAUUGAUUAUAAGAUAUUGUCGAUUACGGUGGAUAAUGAUAAAGCUAAUAAUGUUGCCGUGAAAUUGGGAAAAAACAUCUUAAAAAGUGGUUACUUUGUGGCGGAGUCUUUUUUCAUGUAAGAUGUGAAGCACAUAUAAUUAAUCUUAUUGUUCAAGAGGGUUUAAAAGUUAUCGCUAAAGCUAUUGAAAAAAUAAGACUUAGUGUUAAGUAUGUUACAUGUUCACCAAAAAUGGAGGAGAAUUUUUAUCAUGUUGCUAAACAAGCUAAUGUGGUAAAGGAAAAAUUUCUUGUUCUUGAUUGUUGCACCGAUGGAAUUCUACUUAUCUAAUGUUGACAAUUGCUUUAAAGUAUAAAGUUGCUUUUAAUAGAUUUGAGCUUAGAGAUGAUAAAUGUCUUCAUUGUCCAUUAGAGGAAGAAUGGAAUAAUAUUGAAACAUUGAGUAAAUGUUUAAAACAUUUUUAUCAUGCAACAAAUCUCCUCUCCGGUACUAUUUAUCUUGAUUGCAAUCUUUUGUUUGAAGAAUUUUUGUGAAAUUCAUUUGCUUCUUAUGGAGUGGUUAAAAAGUGAUGAUGAUACAAUUGUGGCUAUGACUUUUACAAUGAAAAGAAAAUUUGAUAACUAUUAGCACAUGUGCAAUAAGAUUUUUGCGGUUGCUAUUUUUCUUGAUCCAAGAUACAAAUCAUUGCAAUCAAAUAUUUCUUUGGUUUGAUUUAUGGUGUGGAUGGUGAAAAGUGUACAAAUGAUAUUUUAGUUGUCAUUAAGAAGAUGCAUGAAGAAUAUUACAUUUAGGGACAAAGAGGAAUCUAAAAAUGUCGAAAAUACUUCAAGCACUCAAACAAAAGAAGUAGAAAGAGUUGGUGAUAAAAGGAAAUCAAGUUUUGCACAAUUUGUUGAAACAAUUGAUAAAGAGCCUACAAAAAUAGAUUUAGAUUUAUAUAUGAAAGGCAUUAUUACCACAUGAGAUGAUGAAAAAUGGGAAAAUUUGAUAUAUUGAGUUAGUGGAAAGCAAAUUUUGGGAAGUAUCCUAUACUAGCAAAAGUUGCAAGAGAUGUUUUGGGCAUACCGGCCUUGACCGUAGUAUCCGAGUCCACGUUAUAGCACCUAGGGAUGUGUAAUUCAUUGUUAUAGAAGCCGAAUGACAACAGAUACGAUGGAGGCAUUGAUAUGCGCACAAGAUUGGAUUAAAGUGGUACAAGGAGUUACACAAGUUGAAACUAGUAAGGAUGAUGUUCUUGAUGUGGCUAAGAUAGUGGAUGACGAUGACUCGGAGAUUGCCGAGACAUUAGUAAAAGCACCAUUAGAUGACAUCAUGGAGGUCUACGACUCGGAUGAUGUGAUUUGAUAUUAUGCUUGCAUCCAUUGGUGUCAUAUUCUAGUUAACUUUUGCAUUGAUGUGUUAGCUUGAAACUCUAGAGAACUAAUUAUGUGGUUUUUAUUUGUUUGUGUUUGGUGUUUGUUUGAAGUAAUUCCGAUUAUGUGUGAAUUAAGUUAUUUUGAAAUGAUGAUAUUAUAUAUCUAAA